Molecule: long non-coding RNA, 41225 nt
Filed under: Linum usitatissimum (flax)
Lineage: Eukaryota; Viridiplantae; Streptophyta; Magnoliopsida; Malpighiales; Linaceae
Description: long non-coding RNA (LUSI_LNC004144)
Source: RNAcentral
CUUUUUUUUUAAAAGUGUAGGUAUCCAAAUUUUGUCUAACCAGCCAAAAAAUUUCGGUUGAGCCGUCCAAAUUUUGCUUUCAGCGGGUCAAUGUCCGCCUGGUUUUAAUCAAUCUCACAAACCACCAAACUAGUUUCGAGUGAGUGGUCGGUUUGUGGUCGAUUCUGCUGGGUUUUCUAAACAAAUGAUAGUAACUCAAUUUCUCUUCAACCCCAAUUUCUACAGCAUUUCACUGGAAGCCGGAAGAUGAGGCGCUAUACUCCACAAACUGCUGGGCUAGGAUUAUGGGCUUCCAGUAGAACCCAAUCGUCAAGCCCACACCCACCACCAGUAUGUCAGACCCAAAUACCAUAAGAGUUGAAAAGCCCAAUGCCCAAGGUCUUAUAUUAACCAUGGGCAAGAUGGUUAAUUUUCCGCAACUCCACCACCUCCGAUCGCCAAACCACCUGCUUCGGUCAUUUAUUUUGCAUUUGUGUCUCCAAAUUGUUAACUAUUAAAUCUAGGUUAAUUAUUUUGAACAGCUGGGGCGUAUGGGUCUUGUUGGAUCCGAUCAAGGAUUUGAUUUUCUCGAUCGGAUCCGGAUUCGGGGCUAACAUAGUGUUAUGCAUAUAUACGAUGAUUUACGUUGACCAUGCGUGCACCUUUGAGGUCGAUCCGGGGGAAUAGGGAGCACUUCUAGAAUGCUGUCACUGUCAAAUUCAUAUUUGACAUGUGAGUUAGAAUCUAAGAAGAAGGAAAACAACACUUUGAGAAAAACACACACAUUGACAAAAAUGGGUAAAUAUUGGACUUUGGUUCUGUUUGAUAAUGGAUCGUCAUAAUUUUACUAUCGAAUUUAAAUAAUAGGGCAUUUAACAGUAAAAUAUAGGGUGUUUUAUAAACCGUUCCGAAAACAAUUGGCUGUUUUGGAUAAAGUUUGAACACUUAUUAAAUAGCUGUAUAUACGGUCCCCCAGACUGAUUGAUUGGCCGGUGUUGAGUGUAAUCCCCAUGCAAAGUAAUUAAAAUAUCCUUUUGUUGGACACGUGUCAGUUUCCCUCCCUCUGAAACUUUUGUCUCUUUUCGCCGGAAACGUCGCCGGAAUUCUACUAAUCACUGUCGGCGUCUACGAAGCAAAGAACGGUUUACUUAAUUUCAUUAUCAUUAUCAUCAUUGUUUAAUUCCCGAUGAUAGUCCAAAUAGUUCACAUUAUUUCAUUUCAAGAGCGAUGUUAGAAUUAUGAACAAAAACACGUACACGUAAUAUAUUAAUUAGUAAAUCUUGGACAGCUUGGAUCUCAUAUGAAGCAACUUUUAUUGACUUAUAUAAAGCUAUUAAUUAAUUUCUCGUAUUUCUAUAAAAACAUAAUCUUUUUAGUUAUUUUGAUGGUAUUUUAUUUUUAUUGGUCGAUAAAUCUAUAAUCAUGCCUAAAUUAAAAAAAAUUAUUAUGAUAGAGAAUAAUUAUCUAUGUGGGUACAUAUCUAUGAGAGUUUCUUCUUUAAUUUCUUCCAAGCACUGGCUCAGACUAUUUCGAAGUUUAGAGCUUUCAUAAUAUGUAAAUUUUCUUAUAUUGAUUAUAUAUUUAUUGGGAUCUUUUAAUGAAUUGUCUAAUGUAUUUAUAUCAAAAUUUAACGUUUUAAUUUAAUAUAUUAAACCUUUUCAAAUCCGCCGCAGUAGCAAAUCACUAUCAUAGCUAAUAUAGAAACAGUGCAUUAUUACAUGAAAUUACUUACAUCCAAAAUACUAGGAGGCAUCUCAAACCUCAACAUAUUACUACAAUAGCUAUCUCUCUCGUCCUCCGUACUACUACCGGCGUUGAAAUUAUUCAAAGUUGAGUUGGAGUUCAACCGCGUCGGGCUCGACGACGGCGUUGAAAACACGGACGCCGCCGCCGCUGACAAGUCCAUAAUAGUAUUGCCCGUUUGGUGAUCAUCAAACGACGACGUCCCGGGGUAGUAGUCGUGAAGAUGAUCGUUGUAGCUGUCCGACGUAUAACUUCUCUGCCAAUUAUCAGAAGGGCCCACCUCGACACGUGGCACAUUUGUAAUGGUUGCGGUGGUGGCCAGUGUAGUAGCUGUCAUGUCCUGAAACUCAGGGUUGACCAUCGGUUGGUAGUGCUGGUCAUAAAUUCCUCCGGUUUGGGUUUGGGUUUGGUUUUGGAGUUGGGUUUCGGGUGAUGAUGAUGAUGAGACGAGGGAAGUGGCGAGGUGUAGAAUUUCAGGGUUGACCAAGCAAAGCAACCUCGAGAUGUUAGGCUGCGAGGAGGAAAAGGAUGAGCCCAAAAUGGCGGAGAGGUCUAAAAGAUCGAGUCUUGGAUUGUGCGUUACCGGAUCAAUCCCCAUUCUCAACAGUCUCUUUCGAAUGUGUGUGUUCCAGUAGUUUUUAAUCUCGUUGUCCGUCCUUCCUGGCAAGCGAGAUGCAAUCGCCGACCACCUACUUAAAAGAAAUUGAAUGACAAACGAAUUAGUACUUAACUAAUGAAAAAUUCAUAAUUAACGUACCUUUUUAGAGGUAAUAGUGCUAGUACGUAGCGAGAACCUCUCAAUUAACUUACUUGUUUCUGAGAAUACCAUGAAGCUGAAUAAUAGCCUCCUCUUCUUCGAACGAGAACCGGCCUCUCUUGAUAUCGGGUCGAAGAUAGUUAGUCCACCGAAGACGACAACUUUUACCACACCUUUGUAACCCUAUUAAUAUUGCCACACAAAAACAAAGCAAAAACUUAGAGUUGAUCAAAACGCUUGACAUCAACGACGAAUCCAAAACAAUUGAGUGCACUAAAUUGAAAUGGAAGGGCGAGAUAAUAAAGUACCGGCAUUUAAAGGGAGGGUGCGCCAAUUGCCAUAGCCAUGAAGUUGAAUGUAAUCGAUGAGCUUUUGGUCUUCCUCGGGAGUCCAUGGCCCUUUCUUCAACCCAUUCUUUUCACAAGUUCUUAAGGGCGAUCUUCCCAUGCUGAGUAUCACAGAGGAUGAUUGGAGAAGAAGAUGUAGAUAGCUAGGGACCGUUUGGAGAAGAAGUUUUGGGUUGGUAUAAAUAAAUAGAGAGAAAUUAAAAGGGAAGUGGAAAGUCAAAAGGGUUGGGUGCCGCCCACUUUGCAAAUUUCCAUGUCGACGUGUCCCUCUAAAAACAUUACGUCGUGUGAUGUAAUAAUAUAAGAAACACAAUAUAAGAGUAAUUGUCGGUCUAUGAAGUGUAACGCAAUUAAAACUUGGUAUGUCCGAAUCGCUAAUACGCAACGUCAUUAACUACAACUACUCCGCUUGGAUGCAUUCGAUGAGUAUAAUAUAUAGCCAUAUAUCUAAGUCGAUAAGAUUAAUUUUGUAUUCCAAUUUCUUGAAUAAUGUAUAUAUUCGUCAUUCUCGUAUUAAUAUUUCACCAUGUCAAUCUCGAAUGUUAUUCAUGUUGGAUGAAAUAAAACAUGAAGGGAGAAAGAUAUAUAUAUAGUCACUUAUUUAGUUAUUUAAAGUUCUACUCAACUAUUUUUUUUUUUAAAUCAAGUGAUCUAUUGAAUGUAUAAUUAAUAUAUAAUAAUAAGUAAUCGUUAUAAAAUUAGUCCAAAUUAAUAAUUCAAAUUUAGAAGAUAAUUUUUUUUUAAUACAUCAUCAUACUGUUGGGUACUAUUGGGCCUUCUCACCCCAAAAACUAGUUCAAAAGGUGAGGCUUUCCCUCACACUUAUAAACAGCACCCAACCCCUUCCACUCUCCGAUGUGGGAUAACCCAACAACCUCCCCCUCACACAUCGGUCUCUCGGUAGACAUUACCCAUCUAUCGGCUCUGACCGGAUCACCAUCGGUCCUUCGGACCGGAUCUCGGGAGGUGUUGUCAACCUGGGCUCUGAUACCACUGUUGGGCGCUAUUGGGUCUUCUCACCCCAAAAAUUAGCUCAAAGGGUGAGGCUUUCCCUCACACUUAUAAACAGCACCCAACCCCUUCCACUCUCCGAUGUGGGAUAACCCAACACAUACUUUGCUUUUGGUGUCUUUGACUCUUUACUUUUGAUUUUUAGGCGGCUCGUUCUAUGACACGGGUGAUUCUGUCUAGCUACUAAGGAACUUGUCGGCAAUUUUAGCUUUGCUAAUGUAGUUACUCUUCACAGAGUUAGUUCCGGCCAAAUAUAAUUUGAGUUAUUUAUAAUCAUACACUAUAUUUAACGAAAGUUAUAGGAAUGUAACGGUGAAAUGAUGAUACACAUAAAGGCAAAUAUGAAAUGAAAGUUCAUAAAGAUAGAAUUUGUCAUUUGUCAAAAGGGUAAGCCCAAAAAAAAAAGAUGAAAUUUGUCCACAUAAUUGGCAUGUGUAAAUCAUGGUGUAAACAUGCAUGCAUAAAUAUGGCAAAUGUAUACAUGGCUACAUAUUUCUAUAUGGAUCCAAAUUACCGGCCCAUGCCAAAACAUGGCAUCUUCUUACAACUAAUCAGGUCUUGGUUAAUUCAAAAAAAAAACUAUUCGAAAAUAAAUUGGAUAAAACUGCCCAAAAAGAGAAAAGAAACAAAUAUAACAAAAGAUGUCUAUAUGUAGAGCGUGGUUGGAUUUAAAACCAAUACCUCUAAAUCUCCAACUACAUCGAUAGAAAGAUGAAGCUAAAUGGGUCAAAUGAAUAUAUAAUUUUAUGUUAAAUAUUAGAUUCAAAUUCUAAACACCACUUGAAUUAAUUUGAAAUUCUUAUCAUUUUACCACAAUACAUUUCUUCGGAGCUUUUGUAUGGAUGAUAAGGCCCAAAGCUAAAGUUCCCAAGGUUUGGGGAUGUCGCCAUCCGGAUUCUCAAACUUGAUGUCGCACGUAUGAUCCACUUGCCCAAUCAACCCUCAAACGAAACUGAAUCGACACGUAACUACCUCGCCGCCCGGACGUCUGAUUUUCUUCUCCCGUUUGAGAGGUUGAUGUGUGUCCAUUGUCGCACGAACUCACAUCACAGCUUUGUUUCCAUCGUAGUACUGGGUCGCAUCAUACUUCUCAAAGCGACCCGCAAAAUUUCCUAGCGUCCUUCCCACCGCCUCUGUAGAGAACCCUGGCGGUAGAUCGUACACAACAACCCAGAAUUCCGAGUGUGUUAAUCUCGCAGUCAGUGGGUUCUCCCCCGCCUUCAACUCGUGUAGGAGGAGCAGACACCCAUUAUGUGUCCACGGACCUGCAUCGACUACCCCACGGAGGUCGAGCUUAUGGUAGAUACGAAAGAGGAGACGUCGAUCCUCCAGGGCACGUACCGACAUGUUCGUCUUUGGCCUCCACAGUUUCGCCAUUCGCUCUUUCACGAUCUCCAAAUUGAACACUCUCUCCGUAAGGAACUUCCUAACUACGCAUAAGGUCAAAAUCUUUCGUAACUGGUGCUUGAGAUUCCAAGCCUUCAACCUCCUCGACUUGAUCCUCCGCUGCAGCGAGCGUGAGCGCCGAUAGCCUAGCUUCCAUUUUGAUUUUAAACAAGCCUGCUGGACAAUAAACGAGUCGAGUUCGCGCUGACACUGGUUGGCUCACGACCCAGCUCGUUUGAGGCUCGAUUACAUGUUCGAGAGUUUGCUUGAUUACCAGCUGAAUUAAGACUCGUUCGUUGGCUCGAUUAGUACAGUUCGUGAAUUGGUCCUAUAGAUUUUGAUGGUUGGGAUGUUCUUAUAUCAUCUAAAAAAAUAAAAAUAUGGUGACGAAUUAUGUUAUUUUAAAGAUAAAUUACUUCUUUAUAAUGUAUGAGUCGUGUCCAUUUUAGAAUAUUAUAUUUGAAUGUUCUUAUAUCAUUUAAAAAAUAAGAACAUAGUGACGAAUGAUGUUAUCUUAACGGUUAAUUAUUUGUUUAGACUAUACGAGUAGUGUCCAUUAUAGAAUAUUCUAUUUUUUUAUAACUUUGUCCGAGUUGAACUUCAAAGUUAACUUAAAUUAUUAAGAAUUGCAAACGAGCCGAAUCGAACUCGAACUCGAGCUUGUUAAGGCUUAUAAACCAAGCCGAGCCGUUAUUUGGUCGAGCUGAGCUCGAGCUGCUAUUACAAACAAACGAGCCCAGCUACAAGUUGGAACUGACACUUCGUUUACGUCGAUGAGAUCUUCAAAGCUCGGAACUGUUGAAAAUGCUGUAAACGAAAUUACCCAGAAGAUGAGAAGGUGGUGACCAAGUUGCAACUUGGCUAUAAUGAUUAUCUGAUUAUCAUAUGAAGAAGAAGGGAUACAGUGGUCAUUAUUUGCAAUUAUUUCAAUCCAAUUGUACAUGGAAAGACAAAAUUACAAGUAGUCUAAAUUAGCACGGAUGAUGGGAAGAACAAAAAAACCCCAUCGCUGUCCAAAAUGUAAUAAUGCAACAGAAACAGAACAAAUCAGAAAGGGAAUAAAUAAUAAUACAUAAACCGACAAUUUCCAUCCUCCUCUUCGUUUCCUGGUCCAGCCCCUGCAACAGAGUUUCGUUUGCCAAUGUCGGCCCCAAAGUUCGAGCUUUUGCUCACAUUGCUCUUCUUCAUGUUCUUCUUCUCUCUGGUACCUACCAUCGAACCCAAGACCUGGUGACUAUGCUUCGACAAACAAAGUCAACCGGCCCUGAGAAUCAAGGCGCUGGAGUGGAAUGUCAAUCUUUAUUCUUCAGUAUGUGCAUUCUUUCUUCCGCUGGGAUUCAGGGCUUUGAAUCAACACCCUGCAAGUGAAGGAAGACAAGGGAGAAACUUGACUAACUGGUUUCAUACACUUGAGAUGGUCAUCACAGAAGGCGGAGCAUCUCUUCUCGGACCAGCAACAGUCCGAUAAACGUAAACCUUAUCGGCUUUACAAUCGUCACUCCCUUCCUCCUUCAUCACUUCUACAUUCAACCUCGGCAUCUCCCUAGCCAACACCCUGCACCCGCUCAUCGUCACGUUGCAAGCCGACAUCCAGAGCGACCUCAUCGACUCAUACUUCUCCAACCCUGAAAGCAGCGCCGCGUUUCCAAAGGGGCAGUCUCGGAUCUCGAGCUUCCUCAACUUCGGGCAGCCUUCUAAAAUGGACUGCAUCCCAAGAUCGCUGCUUCCAGCAAAGGCUACCGAUAGGGUUUCUAAAUUCUUCGCAUAUCGGCCGAUGUACUCGAAUGUUGAAUCGGUGAGGAGCCCCGAAACGGAGAGCCUCUGGAGCUUCUUGCAGGUUUUGACCACCGCACCAAAGGCUUCGUCCAUUGGUUCGUUGGUGACAUGGUCUGGUUGGCCAGGAUUCAUGAUGCAGAGACGGAAGUGGGUGAAGUCGGGGCAGUUUUUGACGACUGUUGCUACAGCAUCAUUAGUCAUUUGACGGCAGAAGUAGAGGAUGUAGUGGAGCUUUCGGCAUCCUUGCGAGACAGCAACGAUACCUUCUUCAGUUACUGCAUGAAGCAUGUCCUCGUCAAAGGGAUCGGCUGGGAAGACUCGAAGCUCUUCCAACAAAGGACAUUUCUCUCCUACAGCUUCUAGUCCUUUGUCUCCAACUGAGUCCAGAACCUGAAGCAAACAGUGGAGGGAAAAGCAUCAUAACCGUCAUAUAUAGGCGGACCACUAAACAUCUCAAUUUAUAACAACUUAGUUGUUAUAAGAAUGACUUGCUGAACAAACGGAGAAGAGGGAGCUAAAGGGUAUUUUCUUACCCAGAGGCGGCGAAGAGAAGGGCAAUGAGGAAGCAGACUACCGAGUUCUUGACUUUGCAAAGCAGCGUAACUCAAGUUUAGGAAAGUGAGCCGUGAGCAGGACGGGUAGAUAGCUGAGAGAUUCAACGUUGUUGCUUCCCACAAACCAGAAAGUACAUUGAGAUUCUUGCAUAGACUGAAAGCAUGUUCCAGAUCAGAAUACUGGCGUGGCGUGAGUUCUUGUGAGAAAGAGCCAGCACCGAGUUCAGUCAACUGAGGUGCAUAACAAAGCAACCUCUGGAGACAAUCCAGUGAAAUGCUCCUGUUAACUUUGAGAACCUUCAACGAUCUGCAUCUUCUUACAAGCCUCUCGAGAACUUCAGGGUUCACAUCAGUGUUCAAGUUCGAGAAAUUGAGCACUUCUAAUGAGUUGAAGUUCUCAGGAAAACAGCUUAACCAAUCCCCACUGCUGUCUUCUAUGCCGUUCUCCUGUAUGUCCAGCUCAGUCAGAUUCCUGAAAGAAACAAAACAUCAGAAAAUGGUUUUAGAUCUGAAAUUAGCACUCCCGCAAAAUUAAUCUCCGGUACGAUUCACAAAACCACGGUAGAAAUUUAAUUCGUUUCACAACUCCAAAACUACCGGAGUACCCAAUCGAGAGGACAAAUAUUCAUUUCUGGUUAAACCCCACCGAUGUUCACCUAUAAUGGCAAAUGAUUAACAGGGUAAAUACUAAAUAGACGCAGAAUUCUGAUAGAACAGCAGCAACAAUAACAAGAAGUAGAAACAAAGACAGCAAUGAGUUAAACAUUGUAUUAUCUGCUUUGAAUUACUAUUCUCCAUAUCACGAUAAAGUCAAUUCUUGAAGUCAUUCCUCACUCAAAUUCAAUGGUUAGUAUGAUUGCCAAAACAGCGUAGAAAUUUGACUCAUUGCACAAAUGCAGAACUGCCAGAGCAUCAAAUUGGUUAAAAGAGUAAUAAUUUCUGCAUAAACCCCACAGAUAUUAACCCAUGAUGGCAAAUCAUUAACCGGGUAAAUACUAAAUACACUCAGAUUGGCUUAUAGAAGAUCACUAUUAUUAGCGCAAUUAUUGAUUGGUUUUGUAGCAUAGAGGAAAAAGAAAUGGGAUAUUUGUGGAGAAGAAAUGACAUCAAGUACAUGCCAUGAUCCAUUAUUAAUGUUCAUUGUAUAGGCCAUACGUGGAAAAGGAACCAACCAAUAAAGAAAUGGAAAAGUAAAACCAGGGGAAUAGGAUAACCACUUUCCCCGUCAUACCUUUCCCAAUUGCAUCUCUCAAUCUUUUCUUUUCUGGAAUUAUAUAGUGAAUCAAUCAAAACCGGUGAGGCUAAGCAUCCAAACUUCCGAUUCAAAGGUUUAACGAUGAAAUCAUAAAAUUCGUAUCCCAAGCAGCCAUUAACAGUACUAGCUAAGUUCCCCUCAGCAUUUUCUCCCUAGUCUAAUACCUUUCUCAAUCAAUAAAUUACAGCUAAACUAGGUCAGAUCUGGAACAAAAAGCUAGCAAACGGGAUUAAUUCACCAUCUUCCUAACCUGCAAUGAGCGGCGAAGGCGGCAAGUCCGCAAGUACUGAAUCCGUCGCAGCUCAACAGCGAAAGAGCUUUGAAAUUAGGAAACUUAAGAGCCAAGAACUGCAAGCUCUUGUCGGUAACCCUCAUUCUCUUCAACCGAAGCUCCUCAAGGAACGGAUAUUCAGACGCGAACACCUCCAGCCACGACUGCACAUCGGCGCCCCAGUUGUCAGGGACGAGGUUGAAAUCGGAGAACCUCGGUUUCCCCUUGAGCGUGACACUCCGGAUCCUAGGGAAGCGGCGGACGACGAUCUCAGGUGAGACUGAAUAGCAGUUCCCGAUGAAGACGUGAGUCCUGGACCAGCUCUCGGCGCUGUACCAGUCCUUGCAGACCAAGGAGACGGAGCUACGGUCCUUGUGAGAUUUGACCAGAGAGAGGACUCGCUCGAGUACCUCGUCGGGGAAGAGGUUGGUGGUGGCGGUCCGUUUGGGGCUCCGAUCCAUGGCCGCCGGAGAUUGAGAGGGAGAGAGAUUGUGGAGUCAAAGGUGGUGAAUGAAGGAAGCUGCUGUGUUGUGUGGAUGUGGAGGUGGAUGAGCUUUAAGCAAAGAGCCAAAAGAAGGGGGAAGAGGAGUUACAGCUUUAUUGCGUAUUAUAGAAAAAGAGAAAGCUCUGAAUAAUUAGUGUGACUGCAAAAAUAAUAAUAAUAAUAAUAAUAAUAAAUAAUAAUAAAAUCAAUGAAUGAAUAUUUUAUUGGUUUAUUUUAANNNNNNNNNNNNNNNNNNNNNNNNNNNNNNNNNNNNNNNNAAAAUUAGAGAUUUAAAAUAGUUAAAGAUUUGAAAUAAUUAAAAAGAAUUAAAAAAACAGAUUUUAAAUAAUUAAUUAAUUAAAAUGAAGAGAUUUGGAUAUAACUUACUAUUUUUUACAGUUUGAGUAGAUGUUUUGUAGGUAAUUUCGAGUGUAAUUAUUUUGAAGAAAAUAAAAUAAAAUUAAAAAUUAAAAAGAGAAAAAUACAAUUAAUUAAAGAAAAUGAACUAGAGCUGAUCAUUCAAUUAUCCUCUUUAUAUGUCCUCAAAACUUCCCAACUAGUUCAAUGUGAAUGUUUUCAACAAAACAGUGGACAUUGUUUUUUAAAACUAUAUUACAUCGGUGGGGGUUUUUAUUUGGUUUUUUUUUUUUAUUUUUUUUACACAAUUUCUUAUUUAACCUUCGAUCAAACAUAAUUAUCUUUUUGUAAUGCAUCCAAUCACUACAACAAAAUUUGUAAGGAAUUACAGGUUAUUGGUCGUACUCAACUAGUCCUACGACCGGCUUUGUCGCACUCAAUACAUUGUCCACGUACUUGCACUUAAAUCAUACUUAGGUUGGGUCAUUCUUCACUAACUUUGCAUCCUUUUUUUACAUGAUAACAUGUUCUUAUUCUUUUUUUUUUAAUCUCUCCAAUACUUAAUUCAUACACAAUUCGAAUAUGGGCACUUCCACCACAGUUGUUUCCUCAUCAGAAUUUGUCUCCUCAUUAUAGCCAAUAUUGUCUCUGAUUCAAAUCAUUCACUCCCAUACUCCUCUAGCUAGGGCAACAAAUGCACAUUGUGUCAUACAUCUCUAUGUGGCAUGAACUUAUUGAUGAUCAAAGUCCAGGGAUGAGCCUAGGUCUGAAGAUUGGCAAGACGGGCGGUUAAGCCACCCCCCUGCUGCACCGGACGCCGUAUUACAAUGAUGUGAUUGAUGAGGGCUCAAUGAGUCUUUUAGUUGAUGGUGAUAGAACCUUAAAAUGAUCGUCGUGAGACCUUCUGAACAAAUUCGGCGAAUGGCUAUUGGGCUUGCAUUCUUGGACCUUCAAACUUGGGGGUUAGAAGCAGGCCGCUGGACUUAGAGCCCAUCAAUUAUAUGUUAAUACUAUUACUGGAAAAACUAUUUGAAAAUCAUUAAUCCUCACUUGGGUAUAUUUAACAUUUUUGGUCCGGAAAUCCUAUAAAUCAUUUGAAUCUGAUUCAGUCAAUCCAUGUCAAAUUUGGUUUGAUUGAGUGGCGGAUCAGAUUUGGAUUAAUCCAAAUUUGAAGGUGAUGAGCGACGGGUGGGUAUUGGAUUCACUGAUAUUCUAUCCGACUCCGUUUAAAAGUAUAUAUAUAUAUCUGCAAAAAAAAUCUUAGAUUAGUCUGGUUUAUAUUUAUGUUGAAGGAUUAUUGUUUGAUUUAUGUUGAUAGUUAUUACAGUAAGUUUUUUUAAUGACGAUUUAGUAUUUUGGAUAAUUUGAUGAUUGUUUGGUUGAUUUUGUUUUAGUUUAAACUCGAUUUUUAAUCUUGGUUUAGUAUAUUUCGGAUCAAAUUCGAAUCUUCGAUCAAUCUAAAAUCUGACGAUGGGCGGUGAUGGUAUAAAAUUGAAAUCUAAUCGCUAUCCUCGGAUGAAAAUUUCCCAAAUCCAAAAAUACAAUAAAUUCGAUAAUAAAUUUAUAUAAAUCCGUCUCGGACGUACCGAUUACCAAGCCUACACUUUGGCAUGAAAAAUGGUACAAAAAUUGCUAUGGUCACGUGGGCAUAGCACGUGACAACCGCACGAGUCCACGACGCUAAUGGUGGCAACGCAUUAGCCGAUCUUUGUUUUAACAGCUAAUUAAUCUAAUAAUAAUAAUUAUUAUUAUUAUUGUUAACAUUGAUCUAAUCCCUCCCCCGGAAUAAUGGAUUAUUUAACUCCAUAAUGCACUUCCCAAUUUCUGGCUUAUUUAUAUUAAUAUAUUAUUUGACAAGUACAACAUUAAUAAGAAGAAAUAAUUUGGAUUUCUCCUAUUAGGAUACAGCUGGCAGUUCAUUGCCUCAGUUUAGCUGGUGACUGUAAAUUUUUUUGUAAUAAAAUUAGAUCUAAUUUUUAACAAUGUUUAUAAAAUCUCAAAAUUAUGAGAUUAUUAGGUGGAUAAGAUGAAAUCUUAAUGGACCUUGGUGGAAAGUGGGUCGUUUAAUGAGACUCCAAGAUGAUGAAACCGAAGAAGCUUUAAAGUCUUAAUUCAACAAUAGCUAGAUCGUUGUGUUUGUGGUACGUGUGUGGUCAUCUCAAAACACUGCUUUAAUUCGAUGGUUAGGAACGCUCUGAAACAGGAUGAAGCCAUAUUUCCCAACUUCGGACUAUAAAUAUUGUCAGAAGACAGACUAUCAUAAUCACAAAGAGAAAACAUUUAUCUCAUGUACGUAUUCUUUGUUCAUGUCCUUUCUCUUCCACAUGUACUCUUGUGUCACCUCUAACUCACUACUAUAUGUUUCUUGCUAGCGAGGAUAUUGAUAGGGUUAGGAUUUUUUGUAAUUAUCUAUCUUUAUGUGCAUGCUUUUUCAGUGAAUAUUAGCUCAUUUGUGCUUCAAUUCCGUGUGGUUUUGCAUCUUGACAUUGUAUGCUUAGAUCCGUUCACUUGGUCCGUUUCGGUCCAUUUGAUGUGUUUUUUUGUAGUAUUUGAUAUCUACAUGUACUUUAGAAACAUGUAGUCUGGCUAUAAGGCUACGAACCCAGAAUAGAGCACAGUUGGAGCUCAAACGGAAGGACGGUGCAAGAGCUGAUAAAGAGUAAAGGCUGUUACGUAACGGCAGUUGUUCCUUACGUAACAUGUAAAAUUAAGCCUGUUAUAUAAGAGUAAAGACCGUCACGUAAGGCUUACAUAACGUCAAUUGUUCCUUACGUAACAUGUAAAAAUAAGCAUGUUACAUAAGAGUAAAGGCUGUUAUGUAAGUAAAGGCCAUUAUGUAAGGUUUACAUAACGACAGUUGUUCCUUACGUAACGCUACCUACUAAACCUGCUAUAAAAGGUCACUAACUCAAAGUCACCUUACUUUGAGUUAAGACAAGUCAUGAUAGGGAAUGCCCUUGUUGUCAAUAUUAUGAUGAUUAAUCAUGUGGGGUGCAUAUUUUUUCUUCUGUUAUAUCGUGUCUUACAUAUCAAUAACUCAGGUUUAGAUAUAUUAUUAUAUGAUUCAUCAAUACGCCCUGUCAAAUAAAAAAUAGGUUAGGUUUGCACGGUUUUAGUAAGUCAUAUACACGGAUUGAGGAUUUUCAAAGUCUGUAAAAACUCUGAUAUCAUGUCAUGAAUAAUAACUCGAAUUAUUGGGAGGGGUUCAAAUUUAUUAUUAUAUNNNNNNNNNNNNNNNNNNNNNNNNNNNNNNNNNNNNNNNNNNNNNNNNNNNNNNNNNNNNNNNNNNNNNNNNNUAAAAUGAAAGAAAUCAAAGACCUUAAUAAGACGAAAUAAAAGAUGUUUUUUUUGCCACAUCAUUGACAACACUAAAUAGAACAUCAAUUUGGCUAUUCAGCCAAUAGGUAGGUUAAUAGGAUGGAUUCUCAUUUAAAUUAUAUUUUGAUUUACAAAUAUAAAUUUAUAUUUAAAAAUACCCAUCUCUCAUCUAUAAUAUUCUCAUUUAAAUUAAAAAUCAUUGCCACAUAAACUCCUCCUCACUUUAUAAUUCAAAACAAUCUUAUCGAUAGGAUGCUCUAAUCAACUAAUUUUUUUUCAAUUUGAUCUCAUCUCCCAUUUUCCAACAUUCUAAUUUCGACUUAAUAUGACCUAUUUAAAGCAAUGACGAGGAGAGAAAAUAAUUAAUCAAGUUUACUGUUGUUAAUUAGUUUCGAUGGAUGAUUAAUGAUUUUCUUUUUCUUUUUGAGGGGUAAUCGAUUAUGAUUAAUUAAUUCAAUGAGAAUUAGGUAGAAACCACAUAAUUAAUGCAGCGGCAGAAGAAGGAAGGAAGCAUAUUGUUGUGGGGGAUUAAACACGUGGCGGAGCUGAGUUGACGGGGAAGCACUAAAACGGUUUGUCGUCUAUCGCAUAAUCGUCGACACAUGGCUGCCUCUUUUUCCCCCACUCUUCAUCAUUUUAUAAACAAAUAAAAAUAUAAUGAAUAAAGUAAUCUGAGUUUUCAAUUUUUCAGACAAAAUUUAGGUUUUAAUUUGUCGACGGAGAUAUAAUUUAGGUUAAUCAAAAUCAGAAACAUAAAAAAUUUACUCUUUUUUGGGUUCAGUAACAAAAAUUGAUUAUAAGCUAAUACUCUUUCCUGGUUGACAGUUUCCGUGAAAUAUUAUAUUAUACGCCCAAUUAAAUACUACAUCAUUUUUAGCAUGAGUAUAAUUUUCUAAACAUUCACUUUUCACACGCUAGCUUUGAUGAGCUCCUUGAUAUCAAAACCAGCCACAUAUCCAAUCUGAAUUGCGAAAAUAAUAACCCAUGAAAAAAACAACCUGAAAAUAAAGUAGGCCGAAAUAUCGAUAUAUCUCGAGAUAGCCAUGAAAAUGGUCAAUAGAUUUGUGAUGUUCGUUCGGGUCACGUAAGAAGACAACUUUACGGCUAAUCCUAAUUGUCUGUCGUCGUUUGUUUUUCCUCUUCCUCUCAUAUGCUCUGCAUAUGGUCCACCUUUUUUCAAGUAAGUACAUAUUCCAUGAUGAAAUGUUCACUCAGUCUGAAAAUGAGAAAUUCUCACGUGUCUUUUUCGGGGGCAAGUUCAGCUUCAUCAUCGUUGCUAUCUUGUUGGAUUUAAGGAGCGUUGGAUAAGAUCAACGGCCAAAAUUACAGAUGGACUAAUAUGUUUGUUGCAAAACUUGUGUCGGGUCUCAAAUGGAACUGGAGUCCCUUCCGAAGGUGAAACGCUUCAUCCAGUCAGUUAUCACCAAUGCUCUCGUACGCCAGCUCACCAGCUUACUGUUCAAACCAAAAGACUGCAUUUUCAGGUAUCACAUUAGCAGGAGGAGAAAGGCUACUUUGAGUUCAUUACCUUGCAUAGACGGAAUACCAUAGCCAUUGAGAGCUAUGACCAAUUGAAACCCAGUCACCGGGAAGUUGGGCUGCUGUUUGUUCUCCUCCCAGAGGAGCAAACUGGCCGAAAUGUUUGUAACUGAAGCCAACAAAUUAUAACGUACGUGGUGAGGAAUGCGGUUCAUAGUUUCUUUGCAUAGAAUGAAAUGAAACUUUCAAGUUGGUAAGUUUCGUGAUUCAUUAUAGUCACUGAAUUGCAACUUUCAGCUGGAUGGAAGAAAGGACCUGAAGGGGCGAAACCGGUGGCGGCCCUCUCCUCUGAACCUCAGUGGCCCUUCUGGAUUCUUCUCAGCCGUUUCCAUGCGGUUGAAGCAAUUGGCAAGGUAGCUACCCUGCUGGGCUGCAACCUGAAACAGGAAACAAAAUAAUCAAUACACGAGAACUACGGAGAGUACUCUCUCGAAGAGUAUAGACUUCCUCACGUUGUAUCAUAUCAGUGUGUUGGAUCUUGUACCAGAUAUCAUGGCAUACAGAUCUAUCUACGGUCUGGAACUACUGUUCAAUCUAGUACCCUGUCCAAAUGUGACUGACCUCUAGUCUUGCUAAUGGUUAACCCUUAAUUGAACCAAACUAGCCGAUACAGUUCAAAUAUUGACGGAAUGACUUUCAGGUGUUGUUAACCAAAUUACUCCGAUUCAAACCAACCGCACCACUGUACGAAACAUGAAUUCCACACCAAAUUUUUAUCAAGAUUUGGAACCGUUUAUCACAUUAAAGUAGUAUAUAAACGCAAACGAUGUGUUACUAUAAACAGGAAGUUAAUCUUCUAGCCACUCCUUUUGUACUUGGAGACUAAGUUAUAGUUUCUUAUGUCCUUUUAUCGAUACACACGAGUACCAUAGUUCAAAAUUGAUGUUAACAUAUUAUCUUCUGCAACUCUUUGCAGGUCCAAAUCUUGUUUCCAUAGUGAUAAUAAUCGUUCAAUAUUAAACCGUGAAACAAAAAACUAUUACGCACCUGAGCUGUUGCUGGAAAGUUCUUGACUUGGGAAUCAACUUCCUUGAGGGCAGUUUUUAGCUCUUCAAUGCUAAGUUCAAUAGAGCCCUUUGAAUCGUCCCCUUGGGCAUCACUGAGAAGAUCAGCAAUAUUCCGCAGUUUCUUUGUCUUCAGAUAAAGACCCACUUGAGGGUACCUUUCACAGAUAUCGUCAAUUACUUCUUGAAGUUCCUUUACAGUGAGAGUUCCAGAGUUGUCCUUAUCUGCCUUCUUAAAUAUUGCAUCUAUAUCUUCCUGCAACCUCAGUGGUAAAACGGCAAGCAAUCACACGCCAAUUUGACAGGAAACUUGACAAGAGCCCAUUCGAAGAAUCUCAGAAGAGCAAAACUAUCAUCGUGAAGCUAAUAAAUUUCAGUAAACUGUUACUGCAGGAGGAGAAGAAAGAGAGCGGAGAAGGAGAGCCACAACAUUCAGGAUCCUAGCACAGAGCUUUAUAAGUCAUCAUUCCACCAAUACUUGCCAAAAUGAUGGGUUCAUCCAACUUGAUAUAAAGAUAAGGUAGAGGUUGAUCGUUGAUUAGUAAUCCGUAACAUGUAUUGUAUUGUAUAUGUUGUGUUGCAUAAGAACAGAACAGUUAAGUAGAUAAAAGUACCAUGACUUUCCGCUGGUUGAUUGUCGCACAGUCACCCAGGGCAUAAAUGCUAUCAGUUCCUUCAACGCGUAGCCAUUCAUCAGUUGCCAAAGCACGUCUAUUUUCCUGUUGGCGAUGACACAAUGGUGAAUGUUUGCCAAUACUGGGAAACUUGAAAGCUAAGUAAGCCAACAGAAAAUAUAGUAGUAUUUGAGAGUGGAAAUGGCUCACCUGACCAACUUGCUUCAUAAAGUCCCUUAUGACCGGAUGAGCUCCAAUUCCAGUUGACCAGACGAUCAUUCCGUACGGCAUGUUGGUAACUUGGCCAUCAACUCUAGCUUUAGCUGAAAUUUCAUUAUCAGAUACUUUCGUGACCAUUGAUCCCAAUUUGACAUCUAUACCAUCUCUUUUGAACUUAUCUUCAGCAAAUUCUGUAAUUCGUUUGUCAAACCUGCAAUCAAGAACUUUUGCAGGUAUGAGAAGUGUAGAAAUUCAAGGUAAUUCUUCUAUGAAUUACUCGUAUUAUUCGCAGAGUAAUAUAUACACAUAGCUAGUAUAGAGACUUACUACAAUUAGGAUAUACUACUUAUUCUAACUACCUUAAUAUAACAGACUACUUAUCUAGUUAUCAACUCUCACAAGGUUACACCGUACAACAGUAAAUUAUAUUUGUAAUAAUACUAACAAAUCUCAGCAUUUCCCCUCAAGCUUGGGCUAAAUAAUAUGGAGGAUCUUUGAAAGUUUUGUUUAAGAUAUGUCCAAGUGGAUCUGGUAUGAGCAGGAAAAAAAUGUUUAAACUGCUUUUCAGGUAUGAGUAUUCCACUUCCCUUUCUUCACACCACUCGUUGAACUUGAGAACGCCAGAUUUCAUCUCAACCUUUUCUAACUGCUAAAUCCCUUGUUAAAACUCCUAAGGCUAGUUCAAUAUUUAAAAAAUUAACCACAUGCAUGAUAGAACGGACACAGAGUUUGAGUUCUGUGAGCCAGAGUCUGUCACUCAACUAGACAUUUUAAAAUAACGAGUUCUAGUACCUAUUGUAAUGCUAAUAGUGAAUAUAUGGAAUAUAGUGAAAACCUCCAAACUAACAUAGCUCCAGUUAAAUAAUGGCGAAUAGACUUGUAUAUAAAAUCAUUAACAUUACACUUACAUCGUAAGGAUAUGAUCUGCCGCCUCGAGUAGUGUUAUCUUGACAUACUUCCUCGCUGCUGGGUACAAUUUGACUAAAUCUUCAGUCACAAAAUCAUGGAGUUCUGCAGCGAACUCCACACCCGUUGGGCCACCACCUACCACCACAAAAUGGAGGAUUUUUUUCCUCUCUUCGUCGCUCAGACUUGGCAGGCUUGCCUUCUCAAAACAGUCAACAACUGACCUACGGAUCCGCUGAGCAUCUUCGACUUCCUGCCAUGAGGAAAUCGGUUGCCAUGAUAACCAAAAACGAAGAGACUUAUACAAACUGUAUAAAAUACUCAACGAUUAACCACACCUUAAGAAAGUUGCAGUGUUCCACAACGCCAGGAGUAUUGAAAGUAUUGGGACGCCCUCCCAUUGCAAUAACAAGGUAGUCAUAAUCGGCAACAAAUUCUUCCUUCCCAUUUCCAUCGACGUUCUGAUUAGAAUGGCAGUGAACCUUCUUACUCUGAGAAUCGAUCUUGAAACAUUCAGCUUCCCAGUAACGGACAUCAACGUUUUUCUGCAGAAAACACAAAAAAGAUCAAGCACGACGAAUUAUGUUUAGUUUCCCCACAGACCAUAAUUGUACAAAGAUAGACAAUAAAAGUAACCCCACCUUCUUGACAAUGUUACGGAUCGGUUCCACGAUGCUGCGAGGUUCCACUGUUCCAACAGUAACACUCGGUAACAGAGGAGUGAAUGCAAAGUAAUUCCGAGGAGAUAUCACUUGAACAUCAUAGGAAGGAUCAUUCAACUGCUUCAAGAAACUCGUCCCUGCCCAUCCAGUUCCCAGAACAACCACCCUCUUCUUCUUGAUCUCGGGUGGAGCAACAUGACUCAACGAGUUUGCAUCAGCAUAAGCAACAAGUCCUCCACCACUACAACCAAACAACAACACCACAUGGCACACAAAUGUAUGAGGUUUCGAAAACUAUCUAAAUCAGUCGAUACGAAAGUUGAACAUUCAUCUGCCAAAUUUACAUUCUGAGAAAUUUCCCCAUACAGUCUUCAUAUUACAGACUAAUUCACAAAAUGCUCAAAACAAUCCACCAUGAGAACAAACUCGAUCAAGAAAUUCGACUGCCAAACCUACCUGCAUGAGCUCAGAAGUACGGAUCACUUCAAUAUUCUAAACCGUUCAGCGUCAUACCCAGUCGAGAAUCACAAGACUUAUAGGAAAUAGGAAACUAACGGUUCACAGAUCACAAGUAAAGAGUAGAAGGCUAGAAGCAACAGGGGAAAGGUACCUGACAGUGAAGACGACGACCAGUUUAGAGAGCGAGGAACUGUCAUGAUACGUUCUAGAAGCUCUCUCGAACAACUUGAUCGCUUUCAUAUUUUCUCACUGUUCUCCGAAGGAAAUCCCGGUGUCUCCGUAUCUCGCCGCCGAUUAGCACUACCCCAGCUCUCAAUUCACACAACGAUUUGGCUAAAUGAAUGAGAAUCAGUGUAAGAGGAGAAGAAAUGGAUGGAAGAAGGAAAAUUUUCCCCAAAAGAAUUGGAGAGGGAUGAGAAAAGGAAGGAAAUGAGGGAACGUGAGAGUGCGGUUGUGACUGACUGAGAACAGUUGAGCGGAGCCUGGCACGUGGCGUGAAAGGCUGGGCCAACUCCUGCGAUGACCACCUGUCGCUGGUUUGUUCUUAGUGACGUGGCUACUGACUCACAAUUCUUUAACCACGAUGGAUAUUAAGCCGAGAUGGAUGAUGAUGUUUGUUGAUAAUCAGGGAUCACAGUGAAAGAAGGAAACAGAAUCUGUCUGGUUCAACCGAAAUGUCAACUACAAAAUUCAACCAUACUCGAAAUUGGAACAAAAAUGCAGCAGAUUGCACAUCUACCAGAAACAAUGAUAUAACUUACGCUCAUCAAAUCAAUAGUCUCAUCUAACUCUCGUAUUCACAAUGAUGCAACUUACAACCCAGUACAGCUGAAAGACUACUUACAGAGGAUGCAUGACUUGAUGAGGUUGAGGUAAAUUUUCAGUUCUAUGAUCAAAUAGGGUUUUGUGAGAAUCCAAACUCGACGUAUCCAACAAUCAAACCGAGGAAUUUACCUUGAAAAUGGCACAAGUAGUUACAUAUCAUGCUGCCAGAGUCUGCAUUAUAACGGACCAUCUAUUGCACUGCUUAAGAAGAACAAGAGACUUCUCCUGGCAUCAGUCAAAUGCAGGACUCCUUUGAUUUAUGGAAAUUCUCGGUCAACUUAUGAACUGAACUUCUGCUUCUUCCAACUCUUCCCAACAGGCAAGGAUUUGGCAGUAUAUCGUGAAUUCGAAAGUUCUCGGGGUAUUGCAGCUCCGGAAGACUUCAAUACCUCCACAAACUCAGAGAAUAUAGUCUUAUUCUCUUCGUUGAUGAAGGCUAUGGCUUUGCCUUCUUCUCCCAUCCGAGAUGCCCUGCCAAUCAUAUGAACAUACUCCUCAAUGGAAUUCGGCAUGUCAAACACAAUAACCUGUCUCACACCCAACAGAUCCAUUCCACGACCCAAAACUCCAGUUGAGACAAUCACUGGAGCUUCCCCCAUUAAAAAUGCUGCCAUAAUUUCUCUCCUCUCCUUCAUCGGCUUCUCGCCGUGGAUCGAUAAAGCCUUCAAACCAGUCCUUACAGUGAUUGCAUUAGACAAGAGAUCUGCCCCUAGUCUUGAUCCCACAUAUACAACGGCUGGUGGGACGAAAUGCUGCUUACUCAACAGUAUGUCGAAGAGCUUUUGCUUCUUUUGCUUAGUUUCAACCCAAAUGGCCAGCUGUUUCACUGCCAUGCUUGGCCUGUUACGUAGGCCAAUGGAAAUGGAGACGAUUUCUUUGAUCAUGGAACUAGCCAACUUCUCCACUUCCUCUGAGAUCGUCGCUGAAUACAUCAACACCUGGGGUUGAGCGAGACUCACGAAAAUCUGCAUAACCUGAUCACGAAAGCCACUCUGGAGCAUGUAGUCAACUUCAUCAACCACAAACAUCUUUACUUCAUCCAGUUCAAUAUCAUGCUUUGUUAACAGAUCAAUGAGCCUUCCUGGGGUCGCCACAAUAAGCUCCACUCCUUGCUGGAGACGGUGAACUUGUCCAGCCAUUGCAUCACCACCAACCACAAGAGCAGUCUUGAAUAGUAAACCUUUUCCAAGCAACUUGGCUUGAUCCUCAACUUGUAUGCAGAGCUCCCUUGUCGGCGUUAGAACAAUCCCUAAUGGCUUCUUACGGUUCAGAUUUUGAUGUCUCGAACAACAAGUGAUGAUAGGAACCAAAAAGGAAGCGGUUUUACCAGAACCAGUUUCGGCAGAAGCUAACAGACUCUUGCCACUCAAACCAAUCGGAAUUGCCUGCAUCUGGACCGGUGUAGGCACGUCGAAACCUGCAGAUUCUAUGUUCUGAAGUAGCUUUGAUGGAAGAUUCCAGCUAGAGAAUGACAGCAUGGGAGGUGGAACCGUAUCAUCACCCUUAACAUGGAUGUCAAGCUUCUUUCUCGACGUGACAGUCUGAUCAGCAGUUAAAGACAUGGAAUCUCUAACGUAGAAGCACUCGUCCUUUGCAGAAACCACGAUUCGAUUACUUAUAGAUCCCCUGUCCUUGGCGAUGGUUCUGGCUAGUACAACUUGUUUGCACUCCAAACUACAUACGUCAUCAUCGGUUUCAUCACAGAUGUACUCGCCAUAGCGCCCACAUAUCACACAUUUCGGUUCCCCUUGCAGAGCUAAUCUCUGCUGCCUAGAACUCUUCUUUACCUCAUCAGAUUCAUCUUCAACUAAACAUAAACAGAAAGGGAAAAAAUCACAAGUCAUAUAUGGAAAAUGCCAUGAUCAUUUAAUUCAUUCUGCAAGAAAACUCAUACAGCUAAAAGAAUGUUAUGUUCGGCAAUGAAUUGCGAUUUAAACGCCCAGAUUCAACAUUAAGCUUAGACAUUCAGACUAAUUCGCAACUAAGAGAUGAUACGCAUCCAAUACCGAAAUGUUAGAAACUGCACCUGAGCGUUCAACUGCAUCAACUCCUGUCAUUGAAUCCAAUGAUGACCGUUUCGAGCGUUUGAUACGGCUUGAAACCCUAAAAACGCAGAAGACGAAGUGCAGCAACGAAACGUAACAAAUAAAAAGGUCGAGCGCCGAAGAAGAAUAUUGACGUAGGAAAGAGAAAUUGAAGGAAUCACCCAAAUGGCAGCCGAUUGUGAAGGAGCAGGAAAAUCGAACCUUUCUGGGGAAACGUCAGGAUCAAGGGACUGAUGUAAGGGAAUCUCUUGUGUGCGGAUAAGUUAUAGUUAUUCACAGGCAGGUAUCUCGUCGGAGAGUUCUCCGGCGACGGAUCAAAUUUAAAGAUAAUAUGGGGGCGUUUGAGAAUUGAGAAUUAAUCGCGAUUAUAAUGAGUUAAAAGUUUUAUUAGGUCUUUUAUUAAAUCAGAUAUUAUUUAUUAAAUUAAUUAUUUUACCACCUCAUUCUAAUUAUCUCCAGCCACCAAAGUUUUCACCGUUUCGAAUAGACUUGACAACAUAAAUAUUUAGGAAUGUUAUAGCGUACUUAUUAUCCAUUCGCAUCCGUGACAGUUAUUUAUAAUACUCAUCCAUAAUUUCAUUUAUGAAAAUUACUUCCAUCACUGAUACUCAAAAAAUUAACCAUUUUCUACCGCCAUGCGAAAAGGAUAAAAAUCAAAAGUCUAAAAUACACCCAAAAUGUGUAGAAAAGUGUGGAUGAGAUAAUUUUGAGGAAAGAAAUGAAUAAAAUGGAUUAAGAUUAUUUGUUAUUAGGGUUUUAUGUAACCUUGCUAUAUUGAUUAGUCUUGAUUUUAUGUACGACGAAUCGAAGGAUGUAGCUAUUGGAAGACGUGCUCAUAAGAAGGUGUCGGACAUACAACAGAGUAGUGAAAAAAGUUGUAUGGUUCUUGUCUCGCCAAGUAGAUUGUAUUUCAUUGUUAGAGUGGUGACACUCUACUAGAGUUUUUUGUAUAUAAUGUUCUUGUUUUGUUUCGCUUGAAUCAAGUAAGGGGCAAACCGGUAAAUGAACUAAUUUUAACAUUUUCUCCACUCUCCUUUCUCCUACUCCUACCCAAAAUUUGUACGGAGAACGUUGGAGCUCUUUAAAAAUUUUCAUUAAUUAGAUUUUGAGGAGCAGUUACACGGAAUGCGAUGGCUCGAUCCAUAUGAGCUGCAAAAGGUUUUGGCUCGUAAUCAUGAAAUCGAAUAAGUUAAAUGAGAAUAAAAAAUUUGGGGCUAGAUCGAUUAAAAAUUAGAAGGGGCGAUUUGCAAACUUGGUUAAAAUUUGGGAGGCAGAUCGAUUAAAAAUUAGUAGAGAGUAACGAUGUAAAUUUUGCAUAGUUCAAGAGUGCAGACGGGAUUGUUGUAUAUAUGCUACCUUUUCAUGUUCACGAAGCAUUUCAACUGGAAAAUGAAUAAAAAACAGUGUUCACAUUAGACGCAGGGGAGGUUCUUAAUAUGUUGCCAAACCAUCUUUUGUUUAAUCUCUUAACAGAAAAGCUUACAAUCAUCUCUUCUGUUCUCGAAGCCAAGAACAAGAAAGAAGAAUACAACCUUCAUUGGCAUUCAUCUGCUGCUUUGAAUAAGAGCUAUGAUGGAUGGUACGAGAGGAAGUAGGAGGAGGAUAAUGAACACAAUGCCAAGAAUAAUGGCAAUGCACGUCCACUUCCUCGAGCUCUUCUGAUGCUCCCUGGCCUCUUGAAGCUGCUCUGUCCCACGCCGGACGAAGGAGCUGGCGUGCGCCACGUGGCUCUCGAUGUCGUUGAGCUGAUGCCCCUGAGCCUCCACAAGUGCGGCCAUGUCCAAGAACACCUGAUGCAACUCGAUCAGGUUCUUCUCAAUCUCCUUCACCGCGUCGUGCCUUUCCUGAAUCUCCGAUAUCGUGUCGAGAAUCUGACCCCUGCCUUGCUCCUGGAUCGCCUUUUGAAGGAAGCUCUCGCUCUCCCCGCUUUCAAUCAGGUUCUCGAUCAAAUCCUCGCUCGCCUUCUCCCCCGUGAUGGUGAAAUACCUUCUCUCAACGGUCUCUUUAUACUCUGCCGACAUCUUAGCCCUCAGGUUUUGAAAAUCGUCCAUUAGGUCCUUGAGCUUCUUCCCCAAACCCCCAACCACGGACGUCCUCGUUCGAUCAGCUGACGAACCAGGACCGCAGCCAGGAAUGCUACGCGCUGCUGCAUUCGAUCUCUCCAAAGCUUCUAGCUUCCCCUUAAUGACCCUGACCCGCUUCAGCACCUGUGCCACAUCCGAAUCCAUCCUCGACCUCAAAUCCUUCACGGUCUUCGCAUUGUGCACGGUCUUGAUUUCCUCAUUGGAUUCUUGUAAAGAUUUGUGCAGCUUGGCCACUGUCGACAUGUCGUCCUUGACAUUUUCCACGUCUUGGAAGAACUUAUCGAGGUUUGUAUUCUGCUUUCCGGCCUCGAGAUCAUCUAUUUGAGUUUGCUGUUUCAGGUCCGUAUAUUUCUUAAACGAACUCGAAAAAAGGUCAUUCAUCUUGCCUGUAUUUGGAGAUGCGCUCGUUCUCAAUCGAUAUUUGUGGUUUGGGGGAGGUGAAAGGUUUAAUUUUCUUACUAAUUAAUUAUAAUUAGAUUAAAAUAAGUGUCAUAAACCUAUCUUCCUCUUCAUUAUACCUGCAUAAGUUCAUGAAGGUUUAAUGAAGAGGAAGAUAGAAAGGUAACAAUAAAGCAAGAAAGCUCUUUCUUGCUAAACAACAAGGUUUGGGAAAUUUAUCUUUGGAGGAACAAGGUAAAAAAGUAAGGGUUAAUUUGUUAUGAGCUCAUUGUAAUGAAUGGUGAAAAAAAAUUCCCCAACCUCCUAAAACCUCUUGUUAACUAAAAUUAGAUCGGUCAGUAAAAAUGGUGGAUGCAUUGGUGAAAUCGGGUAAUUGGUUAAAUGUCGGUUUUACGGCUAAUCGAAAAAAUAAAAUUAUCCUCAAAUCUAAAUGAAAUGCCCCAAAUUCAAUGGAAACUAUCAAAAUUUUGACAUUAAAAUGUCGGUUAAAUUAGUCGAUCCGUUAAAAAGUUAAUCGAUCUGAAUGUUCAUGUCAUUUUCUCCGACCGUUAAUCAACGGUUUAUAACUAAAUUAACCGACUUAAAGGGCUAAUAUUUGUUAUGUUCCAACGAUACAACCGUCUAAACAACUCCGACAAAUGAAGGGAAAAUAAGCCUAGGUAUAAGCCGAAAAGUUUAGUCCGAAAAAAAAAACAAACGACAAUAAUAUUAGGUUUGGCAAUAAAAAAUUAUGAUUUAUGAGUUGAAAUUAGUGUAAAAGAGAUGAAUUAAAGUUAACUUUUCUUUUACAAUCUUUUGUAACCACGACUCAACCUUAUCUGACAACGUCAUCUGACAAUCGCCGUAACACGAGGGAAGCACCACAAGCUUACUACCUCCGAUCCCACAUCCAACCACCACAAAUUCAUCAUGUUUGAACGGACCAAUGCUGGAUUCUUUAACCCAACACCAGUCUUCUUCCUUCAUAAACCAUACAUCAAAGUCAUGAGGAUCAUCCCCAAUUGAACUAGCUGGCAGUACUGACUUCCCAAUGCAGGUUCCAGGAUGGACAAGCAAAGCAACUGAAUCCUUGUACAUUACAAGUUCCUUCAUCUGACCAUGAAAAGAGUAACCAUCACUUCCACGUAAACUGAGAGGGACAGGGUCGCUUAUCACUCGAAAAGACACCCCAACGAUCAAUCAGUAGCAAGAUAUCCAGAUUCCAAGAUCUUUGGAGCCUCGUCGGAAUCUGGAAAUAGGUCGCCGUCGACGAGGAGCUCGCCGGAGCUGGAGGUUGAAGACAAAGCGAUCCUUUUGCAGUUUCAAAACGUUUAGUGGCCAACUUGAAAAUUCUGAAAGAUAAGUGACCUGUAUACAUAUUUGGUUAACCUGGGGACUAAACUGUACUUCCUGGGAAUAAGGAUGAUUGGACUUUAUUUCUCUAUUUUCUAGUGAUGGAACUGUAAGGAUCAGAAGUCCGAGAACUGAACUGGACAUUUGACCAGCGGGGCGUCCAAAUGAUAGAAUCACUCUGGAAGUUUCAGCAAGUUGCAAAGAAGUAAACGGAGCAUAACUCGGUCGUUUGAGCUCAGAUCGACGCACCAUCUGAGAUUGUGGUUUCAUGGCAGCAAGGGGGAUCAUCUUAGAGAUAUUUCUCAGAUGUCAGCUCAUCAAUAAGGUGGGUUAAUUUAAGGGGAUAAUAUCUUAUAGUUGUAGUAGGUUAGAUUAAGUUAGUUAAUUUCAUGCAUUUAAUUUAUGCCAUGAUUUCAUGAUUGAGUGUUUAUUUGUGACAUGUUAUUACUUUGAUGUUGUGCAAGUUAUGCCUCCUAUAUAACUAUAAGGUUAGACUAGUGAUAAUGUUAAAACUAUAAUAAGGUUAGACUAACAUUAAUGUUAGAUGAUGAUAAGAUUAGACAUGACCAGCGAUAAGAAACAAGAACACCUCACCUAGAUAUGUAAUAAGUGGAUUUAAAAUAUGAAACUCACUAGCUAGACCAUCGCCCUUUAUGAUUCAGGCCGCAACUUUGUCCACUAUGAUUUAUGGGCUGAGUUUUGCCCCCAUGAUUUACGGGCCACAGUUUGCCUUUUAUGAUUUAUGAUACCGUCUAAUGGAUACGUACUCUCAGACCUCCAUGAUUUUAACGCUAAGGUGGUGGGUUAGUAAGUUGAGUUGUGGAUGCCCCACAAAAAAUACGAUAUCUUAGAUAAGGUCAAUGAUAGCACAAAAAUCAAAAUCAUGUAAAUUGACUACCUCAAGAAUGAUGUUUAUGAUAUGACAAGUUACAAGAACUAUAGUUCUAUGAUUCAUAAUGCACCUAACUUGAUUUAAUUUAGCUUCAAUCUUUCAUGAUGAUUCCUUGAUGAUGAUUGGUUAUUGAUGAUUCCUUAUCGAUGAUUAAUUACUUGUUAUGUUUAAUUCUUACAUAAAGAGGAUUACUUUAUGUAAUAUGGUUACUUAGUUAGUACUGAUGAAUCUAUAUGUGUUCUUAUUUUUCUAUGUUCAGUUAUGAUGCUCAUAUGAUGUGCCUAUAUGAUUGAACUAGAUUAUGAGGUGAUUAGAUAACUAGUGAACAACAAGAACUACUCAAAGUGUAGACGAUUAAUAAAUGAUCUAGUAGUACUUACCUCUUUCGCUAGACCUAGGAUCCAUGUUUUCGGCGUACUAUCUUGGAUCAAUAGAGAUCCAAUACUUAUUUAAUUGGUCCACUAGGGACCCCCUAUGAUUAGACAUUGGGCCACUAGCUAGAGACCCUUAUGUUCGUAUUAGGUCAUUAGAGAUCCAUAAUUCCUCUUAGCCCGUCAAGUGGAUGGUAUGACUAGUUAGUUGAGUUAAACAAUGAUUCCAGUUAUGAUAUCCUAGAAGGAUGAUGUUAGGAAAAGUUAAACAACCUUAGUAGUGGUAGCAUAGUAGAAGAAAUGAAUGUUAGCUAUUUAUGAUGAGAUGAAGUUUAAUGUGAAUAAUGUGUUAGUAGUGCCUUAAUAUUAAUUGUUACGAUUAGAGCAUGAAAGGCUGGCCCCGAACCACCUAUCAGGGUGUUUUGAUAAUUGAUGUAGAAGCUGGGAGGAGCUGAUUCGGGAGGUGGCGAUAUGAACUUGUUUGUAAGAAAUGUUUAAGAAAUUUCCAUAUUAACCAUUUAGUGUUUAGGGUUUAUGAGCAUUUACUAGUAGUCAGUUAUUUACAAAGAUUUCUAUCUUUCUUUUUUUAUUUUAUUUUAAAGUUCUCUGGCAUGUGCAUUUUGGUCAUUUGAUAAUUCUGAAGAAAUGAGGGUAUUUCAUUUUGUGUUUGUUGAGUUGGGUUGUUAUGUAGCAAUUUUAAGGCCGAAUACCCAAAUCUAGUCUGAAUUUUAAGCGGAUUUUCAAAUUUAACCCGAAUUAUUUUGACCAUUAUCUAUCCAAUAGUUUUGAUUUUCUGACAGUUGUAGUUCGGUGACUACAUUUUUUAUUAAAAUUUUAACAUCGUUAUUGACGAGACAGAUAAAACUGACAUGACAUUCGUUUGAUCGAUUAAAUAAAAAUAUAUCAGCAACAUUUCAAUUAUAAAGUUAAUUAAAUAAGUGACAAAAAAAUUGUCAAUUCUUUCUUCUUCCCCCCUCCCCCCAAUCUUCCUUCACCUUUUUAUUCUUCCCCAUAGCUGAACCCAGAUCUGAAACAGUUCGAAGUGCGUUCCGUCCAUCGAGAAUUUCUUCACCCUAAUCUCUCAAUCUAAUCAAAGUUUGCUUUUUUUUUUGUCCAGCCGAACAAAAGUAAUUUUGCUUCUUCUGUCGAACCCAAAACUCCCUACUGCAGCAGAUUGGAGGUUUAGAUGAAUAGCUAGACUGAGCAGCGGCGAAGAUGAAUCUGAUUGGUUAUGUGGGAUCCCCCACUUAUUUGGAUGAAAUGAUUUAGUUUGUCAUCUGUCAUUUGUUCUUUGUAACAGAUACCUGGAAUUCGUCUGUGUUCGUUCAAUUUGUUUUGGUUGUAAUUGGCAGGGACGAUUUCUUGCAUGGCUAGUGGGUUCGACCCAGAUAAUUGUUUAUUCCACUUAUGCCGAACCAUUAAUUUGUCCAUUAUUAUCCCAACUCUCAUGCAUGCAUGCAAUUUGGCAAAAAACGAAUAGAGAACACCAUUUUGCAGUACCGACCUGUGGUCGAACGUACAGAGUUUUCGUCCUCCCUCAGCCGAGAAUCCCAUCUCCAUAUUAAUUGAGCGUGGUGAAUUAAUUGCCUACUGGCGCCUUCGCUGCUGCCUGCGGCGAGAAGGUAACCCCGACUUCUCAAUCAGAACCGAGUAACCCGUGUCGGUAUACUCGACGCUGGCAAGUCACUUAAUUGCGUAUAUCUCAGUUCCCGCCGGUAUGCAAAUUUGGUAAUAAUAGUAAUAAUAAUAAUAAUGUCAUUCAUAUUAUAUUGUUGCUAACCCCAUUCUUCAUCAUCAUCGUACUACUACGAAUAUUGAGACUCGUAUUCAUUACAUUCGUGAUCUUAGUACAUGAAGGUGGUGUGACAUUAAUUUGUACAUGAAGGCGCUACUGGUCGACAUUGGUUUGAAUUUGUCAAACAAAUGGUACGUACGUGUUAGGGUGAUUUGUUGGUGAUCCCCACUUCGGCCCUAGUACAAGAAAUAUAUAUAGACGGCUACCAUUAUAUUGUUCGGUACACAGACUACUCUAUCCUUCUCUAUAUUAAUAAGAUCUCUAUUUCUCUUUUAUAAAUUUGACCUUCCGAUCCGAAAUCACGUUAAAUCUUACGUCAAUACAGUUUACAAUUGCAAGUUCUCUACAACCGCGCGCACGCACAUGAACCUGCGGCAUGCGCCAUUGCAUGCGCGACGUUCGUUCUGAACAUGCAAAUGGGAAGUCAAAUGUUUCAUUGGAGUUGACUUCAAGGGACUUGACAAAUAAUUAAUUAAGAAUAACUCAAUGUAUGUGGCGAAUUGCCUAAUGGUGCCUCUUUUCCUCCCAAAUGACGACCUUUCGGUUAACAGUUUUUAGCAACACAAAAAAUCCUCCAAUUAAUUUGCCGACGUCGCAGUUUAGUUGUUGUCCCAUCAAUCCCUCCAUCGACCCAAAGACCACAAGAUUCUUAAAUUCAUUCUUACAACACACCUUCUCUAAUACCAUCUCGGACCACCUCUCACAAGCUGGGACUCCCAACAUUCGUCCGCGUGCAACUUGAAUGUUGUUUGUCAAUCGGGAUCUGGCACUAACGGCUAGGAUCACCAGCCCACCGACCUUCCCAUUAAGACGAUGUUAUUGUCCGUUCUGAACCAAAUCUACAUUUGUUAAUUUGAUCAUGAUGUGUUGGAUAGAGAUACAAUUAGUAAAGGGAGAGAAAGUUGUUUCUUGGAGUCGAAGAAAAGUAGUUGUAAUGGAAAAUCAAAGCAAUCAAUUUUAUCAAUGGCACUCAAUGUCGACUACUUUGGGUAAGACUAGCAUAUAUGACUAAUUAAUAUUAUUGUGUGAGCAAAGCAAAGCUAAGCCUAAGUGUGGCCUCCUCAUUCCACUCUUGGUCGGCAAGUAUGAAAUACUCAGGUACGUGCGUAUAUCAACUAUAUAAUUUAUUAACCUCAUAGUUAAGCCGAGAUAAGCCGAGAUAGGAUUACGCGCCCAAUUGAAUAUCACAUCGUUAAAUAUGAGAUUAGGUCAUAUACGCAAACCUUUACUAAAAUUAAUAAGGAAUUGAAUGGAACCGUGACAAAAUUAAUCACAGAAGUGAUGUACGAAUCAAUCUGCGAAAAGAGAUGGCUAAAGAACUCUCUGGGUGGUUUCAUGGUACCUGGACUGAUGGGGUUUCAGGCUGUGUUCCUUUGCUGGUGUGCCAUCAGAAGGCAAGCCCAGCUAGCUACUUGAUUUCUUCAUUCAAUCACUAGAUUAUUGGUUGAAUUAGUUAAACCCUUGUUGAUGUAAGACUUUUCGAUACAAUCUUCAUUCAAUCACUCAGUUGGUUGACUUAAUUAGCCCUUGUUAAUGGAAUAUAAAAAUGCAGUGAGCCGGCAUGGGAAAGAGUUGUAACAGGGAAGCAGAGGCUUCCAAGACAGCAAAUUGGCUCACCAUCACAGUAAACACAUCUCAACUCAACCCCUCUUCGUCAUUCUAUAUCGAGUCUGAAUUCUGUUGCAGAGCUUUGUCAUUGGACUACUGGCAAUUGUCAUUGGGAGCCGAAACCAAACGACGAAAAUGAACUAGUUUCUGUCGCCUUUUAAGUAAUUGGAUAAAAUGAUGAAUCUUAAUCGUUAUUCUUGUGGAAGAUGAUGUUAUCAGAGAUGGGAAAGAAGAUGAAUAUAAUUAUGUUAUUUUUAAUUAAUCGAAGAAGAUGAUAAUAACUCAGUUUUUAUUGUUUUUAAUUAAUUGAAGAAGAUGAUGAAUUAUAAUUUUUAUUUUUAUAGAAAAUGAUGUUAAUGAAUGAAUCUAACGAUAAAAUGGAUGUUGUUAAUUAACCAAAAUUAAAUGUUUCAAUGACAUUUUAUACAAUUAAAUUAGGAAAGCCAAUCAAAAAUCGCUACGUGAUAUUUGUAUCAGGUACAUAUUUUCACCAUAGUAUUAUCCUUUGUUAAAUAAGUACAAUUUUUUUUAUAGGUAUUCAUUGAUAGGGUGUAACAAAUUAGCAAGGGCAGAUUCAAGGGGUAUCCAAAGAAGCCACAACUCAUAAUAAUUUUGAUAUAGAGUCAUAAAUUAAANNNNNNNNNNNNNNNNNNNNNNNNNNNNNNNNNNNNNNNNNNNNNNNNNAUUUAGGAUAAUUUUAAAAUUCAGUUUAAUACUUAGUUAUGUUGAAAUUAGAGAAAAUUGGGGAAAAUUUAAAUUUUUUUGUUCGUUAGCAAAAAAUCACUUUUCAAAUCCAAAAAACAAACAGAGUGCUUAGUUACUAAUUUUGCUUAAUUAAUAAGUGUUUUGCAGUUGCGGAUAAACACGUGCCGCCCAUGUGCUACCAGAACAAACGAACAAGUCGGUUUACACAUUAUCAAUUUUCGCUGCGAUGUAUCAAGGAUAAUUUAAUAUACCAUAUUACGUAAGAGUUUAAAUAUAUUGAGUUAUAUAUAAAAAAAAGUUAAUAAAUUAAAAAAUACCAGCAUUUGUUUUUCUGGUCGGAUUUUUUUCAGCAUUUUAUGUUAUUUUCAAUUUCUAAUUUUUCAAGUCAUUAUCAAUUUUAUUUGUUAGUAUUUUUUUUUUUGCUUUUGUUUGACUUUGAAAAGGUUGUUAGGAGAUUAAGGAUGCGAAGUACAGUAACUAAUAAGGUUAAUGAUUUUUUUUUGUUAUCCGUGUAUAGGUAACACCUCAGAUUAUCAACCCAUGUUUUGUACAAAAAUUGUUGUUAUUAUUAGAUCACUGAUGUAUUUGGCAAUUCCUAUUUAAUUGAACACUAAUUUAUAAAUUUUAAUAGAUUGUAAAAAAAAAUACAAGAGAAAUUAUAUAUAUAACUUUGAACAAAUUCUGGCUCUUUAUAUCCCCUCUCAAAUUCUCGCUCUGUAUUAUCAACGGCUGCCGGAUUACUUAACACUGACCUGACAAAAAUGACGCCGCCGCGUUUUACAUUGAUCUCCACCGUCGUUUUAUCUGCAGCAGCUCUGCUGAUCAUCAUCCUCAACACAUCUGCUACAGAUUACUUCUCCCCAGUCGUCUACCGAAUUCUCGUCCUCUGGGCCUCCUUCUCUUCCACGUGGCUCACGCCUCCUUACCUCUAUCUCUUCCUCAACUUCAUCAUCGUCACCAUCGCCGCCUCAUCUCGACUCGAACGCCGGCCGUUGUUGGCUCGAACGUCCGAUUCCGAUCGUUUCGGUUUUUGUUGUGAGGUUAAGGAGUGGAGGCGACCGUCGCAGGAUUCGGGAUUCGAGGACAAGUUUGUGGUCUUGAAGUCGUCGGCGUGGGAUGAUCCGGCCAAGAAGAGGAUUGAAUCAUUGGAUAAUUAUUCGAUGGAAUCGAAAUGCCUUGUUUCUGCUCGAUUCGGAGAUCAGAAACCGGUCAAAGUCAGCCUCGAAGGUAAUAUAUAUUUUCUAGGUGGAUUUACAUUUUGAAUAUAUUUGAUAUUUCAAAUUCUUUUGUUUGGUUUGAAAUUAAACUAGGUAUGUAUGUUUGAUUACUCUUCUAUUUUCAGUUUUAUUUUAUUUAUUUUUAUUUAUUUUAGAUUACUGAUUUUAAGUUAUAAAUUCGAAUAUCAAAUGCAAAUCAAAAGAAUGAUGUAUCUUUUUUGUAAGAGGUCAUUUGAUGAUGAAUUUAGAGGAAAUUUGUAAAAUAAUUUUGUGGAUUAGAUGAUUUAAUUGAAAUAUUAUGUUUAAAUAUAAAAAUAAAGUAGAAUUUGAAAAUUAUAUUAUGGUCUUCCAUCCUCAAAUAUUUUUAGAUCUAAACAAAAAAUACAUUCCUAAAAUGCCACAAAUGCAAGAGUUUUCACAAAAUUUCAUUAAAUUUCCUUCAUAUCAAACGACACCUUAUAUAUUUUGAAUUUGUUACUAUUUUAAAUUAUUUUUUACCAAAUUACAAAAACCCUACCGAAUCUAUCGUGUGAUUUUGAAAGUGAAAGUGUACACGUUGGCAGGGAGGAGAACAGCCCCAAGUGUGACGAAGCAAAACAGAAGUGACACACUGGACGACACGUGGAAGAAGAUAACGGAAAGCCGUCCAAUUCCGUUGAAGAAACACCACAAGAGAUCAGACACGUGGCAGAAUACUAAGCACGGUAUUAGUUAUGCAAACGACGCCACGUCAGAAUCAUCAUGCCUUCACUCGACCACUCUUCCGCCGCCGGCCAUGAAGAAAUCUGCAACGUUUAAGGAAAGGACAGCCAACUUCCGGCUAGCCGGAGAUCACCAUCAAGUAAUCGCAUCUAAGCCCAUCGAUGAUGGGCCGACAAUGAAGAAGUCGGCCACAUUCAAGGACAGGACCGAAUUUCAGCUCCGGCGGCUGUCAAACGGAGGAGGAGGGAGGCUAAGGAAGGAGGCGUCGCUGAGUCAGGACGAGUUGAACCACCGAGUGGAGGAGUUCAUAAAUAAGUUCAACGAGGAGAUGAGGAUGCAGAGGCAAGAGUCAAUUAACCGGUACAAGGAUAUGAUUAGUUAAUCGGACGUUGAAGUGGUGACUGAUGUAUGAAAAUUAAUUCCAACUAAAUCUCAAUAAUUGAAGAGGUUAAUGGAAGAAAGAGAACGGGGCAAUAAUUAAUUCCUCAUUCUUCCUUUUCCUUCUGUCUUUCAACAAAUCAAAGAUGAAUUGCAGCCUCUGUUUUUUUCUCUCUGUUCGACGAACAACCAUCCUACUCACAUUCUCCGUCGUAAUGUUCUUCUUCGUUGUCCGCUCCAGAUCUCCUCUCUACCGGACCGAAUCCGUCUCCAUCAAAGGAUUCAAUUUCUCGAUUAAGCAAGUAAUUCAGAAGCCUCAUCGCCACGUCGGCGGUUCCAAACCUAAUAUGAGAAGAGUAACAUCGAGCAUCAGGAUCGAAAAACAAGAACAACUAGAAAGAGAGGCUGCCGAAUCGAAGAGAAAGCUCGCGAAAGAGCUGCACAAGACGGGGAGAGCAUAGGACGAUACUGGUCGACGUAUCUCUCGCCAUCAACAGGUUGCAACGAGGCGUGCGACUACCGAGGGCCUAAAGACGAAACGACUUGCCUGACGAAAUGCGGCGAACCUUCUCAAACACUGUAAGGAGGAACAUUUUAAAUCAUGUAACUCGAGUCAGUGUGAUGUAAUGGUUUAUGAUAUGGUAUCGAUCUUUAAAUAAUCCCCAUUCCGAGUACAUUUUUCGAAAUUAUCUUGAGUCUUCUAUUUGAGGGGAGUUUUAAUGAAAUAUAAAACUCUACAUAAAACAAGAAAUAUAAAACUAAUAAUCCUCUCUCAACAACUCAAAUUAUUAAGAUGUAAUAAUUCAAAACAACAUAACUCAACAACCUUCUCAAGAAUCUAACAUUGUUAAGAACAUGUUAUAUUGUAAAGGUACCAUGUUCCACGAGCAUGGGUUCAUCCUGGCGACAACCUGCUGGUCCUACGCGAGGAGCUUCGAAACAGUGUUAUCACACACAGGGCAGGAGAUAUGUUCGGUCGUCACAGAGAAGGAUCCACCACCACCGGAAUCUUGGAGACCGAACAUGGGAUUCGCAUCCCAGAGCCCUGAAGUUAGACUGAAAUGUAAACAUGUAAUCCCAUUAGUUUAGUUUUAUAGCCAUUCAUAAUUCGUUCAUGUCCAAAUCUUAACCACCAACUUUGCUUCAGUCAUGGCUUUAUCUCAGAGAUACCAAACCUUCAAAUCUAUCCUGACAGCUGUAAAUUCGUUAGUUUCUGUAGCAGCUCACUGUCAACAUCGUAACUCUCCGGUCGUAUACAGCUAACGAUUUCUCUCGUUAUACUUCUACCAAUUCAAUUAAAACUAACAAUUUAAGUAUGAUCAAGAGGAAAAGACAAGUUCUUGAAAGGGAUGAUUCAUCAAUCUCAACUUUUUAAAAGUAAUUGAAUCGAACAAACGUUGGACUUAAAUUGAAUAUUAAAACUCAUAUUAUCACUUGUAUGAAUCCGCAACACGAUCAUGCACGUGGAUUACCACUACUAGUUUCCCAAUUAAGGUUGGAAUAACCUCAACUAGGCUAACCAAUAAUGAACAUCGAGAAGUUUUACAGAGUGAUAAAGUGGUCUUUCAGAUUUAAAGAAAAUCACGAGUAAUUGGAAUUAGUGUUAACUUGGUCCAUCAACACAUAAACUACUGAUAACUACACCCAACUUGGUUCAUUAGGUGCAAAUUAGAGCGCUCGCCAAUUACAAGUUGAACAACCUUUAAAAUCAAAAGAAACACGAAAGGUAGAAUCGAGCUAUUGGCUUACUCCACCGAUAACUUUCAUCUAUCUCAGAUUGUUCAUCAUAUGAAUUCCAGAAUCAAUCAUAAAUGAUUUCAUAGAUUUGACCUAAUUCAAGUCGAAAUAAGAACAAAGGUGAAAAACCAACAAUUAAAGUAAUCUUUCAUUCAAUUCCAAUUAUCCAACUAUCGUCGACCCUAUACUUUUAAGGAGAAUAUCAUAGCUCAAAUCCUACAUUCCAACCAAAAAACUCUAAAAAAUUAACUACUCAUAAUUCUAAAAAAAAAAUCAGAAUACAACAUAACUACCAUUUUAAUGAGAAAAUCUUACUCUAAUCUUCACUUUUAAUCUCGUAACUUAACUCUCCUUCCUUUGUUUAAUGAUUCUUCUAAAUAUCUAGUCUUUCCAUUAUUUAAACAUUAAACUAAAUAAAAUAUCUUAAGCUCUCCCGUUUUCUUCUAAUAUUAUAGGAAGAGUGGUCAAACUUGGGGAAGUUCUAGACACUAGAAAAGUCGCACUUGAGCAACUGAGAGACCAAGACUGAAUUUCCCCAGACUGCCCUCGUUCACACGUAUACUAGGAAUACCUUUGUAGGGAUGUAACGGUCAUUGUACGCAAGAGGAGAAGAAAACACGUUAAUGACGGCGUCGUAUGAUGACCUGCCCCUUUUAAUUUUUUCUGGCGUAUCCCAUGUGAUUCUUAUGGUAUGUAUGACCAGAGAAUAUACGGCUGUUAGAUUAUUAUAUGCCCUCAUUACUGAUUUAUUAGUAGUAUUAUAUUAACCAGAAAUAACUAGUGUUUUACUGCGAAAAAUAAUAUGUUUCGAUAUAGAAAUUUAAUUAAAUGAUAAAGGGACACAUAUGCGCUUUCGCAUCUUCUUAACCCGAAAUGGCUGGGGAGAGGAAAGGUUCAUCUAAGAGUAUAUAUUAGCACUGAAUAUCGAAUAUGGACAUCAUUGCUUUGAUAUUGUCUUGUAAAAAAAAAAUUAUGAGAUGGGUAAGCUAGACAUACAACAAUUUGAAUUCAAUAAAGGGGUAGGUUACUAGAGUUAAGAUUUAUCAAGUUACGAAAGUCUGAAGUAGAAAUGCUAAUAACUGACCAUAUUUGGUCGGGAGUCAGGUCGAAGUGGGUAUAACUAUGAAGAUAUUGGGGUAAAAACUUAUUUCAGUUAAUUUUUUUUUUCAAAUGCUUAACUAAUUAACCAACCAAAUUAUUUUAUGUUAAUAAAAAUAAGUUUUAACCAUUAAACUUAACUCAAUAUUCUCCAUAAAUGCAUAUUCUAAAUUGGAGAAACAAUAAAUGUAUAGAGCACAUUUGUAUAGAGCAAGUAGUAUGCCAUAGUACUUAGUAUUACACAUUUGUAUUAUUCAUACAACUCUUCGUACGAAAUUAUAUGUAAAAGAGGUCGUCGAAAAAAAAUUCAGAAAAAAAAUUCCAAAAAAUAGAGCCGACAACGGUAAUCAUGUAUAUGCAAAAUAUUUCGUCAACGAAGGUCGGAGUAGACAAGAAAUUGAUCAGGAAAGUACAAUGACCGGAGACGACAACCUGGCAAUCGAAGAUGCUUUUCAGGUCCAACAAAAAUAUUUAAAACAACAUAACAAUAUUACCCCUUGUUAAUUUAACUCUUAAAUCACUUAAAAAUCUAAAAACUCAAAUUGCUCUUAAAUCGAAUUCAAAAAAUAAUGUCCCUGGCUCGAGAAUCGGAAUCAUGUUGUUGCCCUACGCCAGCUAUUACGGAGGUUAGAGUUUCUUGCAUCUCAAGUCCGCCCGCCACCUUCUUCUUCCAACUAUUUUGGCAACUUUUGCUGUUACUUUCUUUUCAAUUUGCUUCUGUUUCUAAUAUAAUAUUUUAUACAAUGUAAUUAGUUGGCAGCUCAAUCAAAGUUAUAUUAGUACUCCGCUUCUCUCUGUGGUUAAAUUCGUUCAAAAUCUUUCUUUCCACAGUUCUUGGCGCAGCCUGAAAUGGAAGAAAAACGCUGAAGGUAAACACUACUGACUCUUCUUUCUCAUCAACUACUCCUUCCUUCACCAUGUUUGAUUCAUCACCAUGUUCAGUCUCCGUCAGUUACGAUUGUUUUUUGUCUGCUUUGGUCUCUUGUUUGCCUAAUGAUCCUCUACCCAUCAAAAGUAACGACCGCCUAUCUAUGUCCAUUUGAUUCGUCGCAGUACAGCGAUUGCUCUGAAUCACACACAGGUUCUUAAAUUACAUUGUUCAAUCGUAUUCCAACCGUUAUUCUUUUACCAUUGGUACGUGGAAGAACAACCAGACUGUUUUUUUUUUCUCUCCAUGGUUUCUGCUAUGCUAAUCGUUGAUUCCACCAUCGCUCUAGAAUCUAGAUGAAGAAAUUUAAGUAUUGGGUUUUGUUUGUUCUUUAGUCUAAAGGGUUCUAGAACUAGAAAGAAAUUGGCUAUCUUGUUCUCAUCAUCAAUCAAUCCUUUUUAUAAUGCACACCACCUGCUCUACCUAUUGUCUGCACUUUAAUUUCACCUAAAAUUUGAUUCAUUCUCUUUUGUGGUUACAGGUUUAUUAGGGGAACAAAAGCUUGAAUAAAUUUUUGAUUUUUAUCUUCUGUCAUGGCAAUGGCAAGGAUUGCCAGGAGUGGGCUGAGAAGGACAGGAGCAUCAGCUUCUUCUGCCGAUUUCUUCAGAUUCUCAGAGCAAGAAGCUCCCAUACUAUGCCCUGCAGUUAUCAAUCCUGUCUAUCCCUCAACUUACAGCUCCACGAGGACUGUUCAUUAUAUGAGUUCCUGGAGCAGAGGAAUCAGGGGGACCCCAAAUUACCAUUCUCCAAAUGCUGAGCGGAUUGUCGAGGAGGAGGUUGAGGAGCACGAACUCCCCGAGACUAGAUACCCUGGUCUAGAGGCAACCAAGCCUGGCGAGAAGUCGAGGGUGGUAGUGCUUGGAAGCGGAUGGGCUGCUUGCAGAUUCAUGAAAGGACUGGACACCAAAAUCUAUGAUGUAGUCUGCAUUUCGCCAAGGAAUCAUAUGGUUUUCACCCCUUUGCUCGCUUCGACUUGCGUUGGUACGCUUGAGUUUCGGUCUGUUGCUGAGCCUGUUAACCGCAUUCAGCCUGCUCUGGCUUCUGCUCCUGACUCGUACUUCUAUCUGGCGUCUUGCCUUGGCAUUGAUGCUGACAAACAUGAGGUAUGGGUUCUUUUAUUUCUUUAGUCUAUUUUAUUGUGGCCAUUAGUGAAAUUUACUUGGUUACAAACCUUCAUCACCCCUUCUGUUCAGAAUUUUGCAAUCAACAUUGCCUAUACUUAAAAGUUUGGUGUUAAUUUUAUCUGGUAUCUUAGCGAGUUAUAUAACACCAAAUACAGAGAUCCUUAGUGUAUAAUAAACUUGAAAAUGAUCAUCAUUGUCGUAAACCGUUGCAUCCCAAUAACUCGAGUUGUUGGGAUAGGGAUCAAAUUGACUUUUGUAGGGUUCAUAUUGGUUUUUAUAUUAUUCAUCAACGAUCAUAACCUUGUGUUCAAGUUUCACGACCAACAUCAUCUAAAUGUUACGUUUAUGUCUUGGCAUAGUUUGGACCAACCAAACUCUUGGUUGGUCCAACUCUUCAUGAUGAGCCAAAUAAAUAGAUCGAUAGUUGUCAUAUAAUCGUUAUGCGUAUAAAUUUUGAGGCCGACGUGACAAAUAUUGUUACUGACUCUGCGGCAUAUGAUCAAUCAGGUGUACUGCCAGACAGUGACGAACAACGGGUUAAAUAAGGAACCACACAAAUUCAAAGUUGCAUACGAUAAGCUAGUGAUUGCUGCUGGAGCAGAGCCAUUAACUUUCGGGAUCAAGGGUGUGGAAGAACAUGCAUUUUUCCUGAGAGAAGUUAAUCAUGCUCAGGAAAUUAGGAAGAAGCUCCUCCUGAAUCUAAUGCUUUCUGACAGCCCUGGUACUGUGAACUUAGUCAAGCUUGCUGUGAAGUUUGUUUGGCUGUCUUUCCCAAGGCUGACUGUGGAGGGAAUUGCUUUUCAUUCAUUGACUGAUUUGCAGGGGUGCCUGAAGAAGAGAAGAAGCGGCUUUUGCACUGCGUCGUGAUUGGUGGAGGUCCGACUGGUGUGGAAUUCAGUGGCGAACUCAGUGACUUCAUUGGUAAAGAUGUCCGUGAACGGUUUUCUCAUGUCAAGGAUGAUAUCAAAGUUACUCUUAUUGAGGUAACCACCUUAUCCUUUCUCCCCAAACCCAUGUCAGCCUACUUAUCUAACCACUUGUUUUAUUACUUGCUGAAACAAACGAAUGUAUGUGAACCAGGCAAAUGAAAUCCUGUCGUCGUUCGAUCUUGGGCUAAGACAGUAUGCAACAAACCAUUUGAGGAAGGUACUGGUUGAUAAUCUUUACUAUUGUCGUUUCUUUUAUUGAUAAUCUAGCUAAACCACGACAGAGACUGACGAAUGCUUGAAUCUGUUGUGUUUUCAGUCCGGAGUGAACCUGAUGCGUGGUGUGGUAAAAGAGGUGCAUCCACACAAGAUCGUUCUUAAUGAUGGCACUAAUGUUCCUUAUGGCCUCCUCGUCUGGUCAACCGGCGUUGGUCCUUCUCAAUUCGUCAAAUCCUUGGCACUUCCCAAAUCACCUGGUGGAAGGUACAUUUCUUACUUACGCAACAUCUGAAAGAUUCAAUUUAUUCUCAUCAACUAAAAAACUACGUUCAGAUAUUUUCUAUAGGUGGUAUUGUAGAGUGAAAUGGUGUAGAUUUGAGAAUAUGAGAUUUACAUUGUGCAAAGAACUUGUGGUGAAUAUGAGAUUUACAUUCCGCAAAGAAUUUGUGGUGCGGAAAUUAUUUUGUUUGGCCGAUGCAUUAUUCAGUAUAACAUUUGAUACGCAAAUAUCACAUUCUAGAAAUACUGCAGUAUUUCCAACAUCUUAAGUGAUAUUUGAAAUAACUCAAAAAUACCACCGCUCGGAAUGCAACACCUUAAAGCUACCUUAAUAAAAAAUUGACCACAAACCAUGCAAUUUUCUUGAGCAGGAUUGGAGUGGACGAGCAUCUACGAGUUCCAUCAGCACCAGACGUGUUUGCAAUGGGAGACUGCGCAGGUUUCCUCGAGUCAACGGGCAAACCGGUUCUACCAGCUCUAGCUCAAGUUGCAGAGAGGCAAGGCAAAUACCUGGUGGAGCUUUUCAACAACCGGAUUGGGAAGCAGAACGGUGGAAAGGCCGCCACUGCCGGAGCAGAGAACGACGACGCCGUAUUGAGAGAUCCGUUCGUGUACAAGCACAUGGGAAGCAUGGCCACCGUGGGAAGGUACAAGGCUCUUGUGGAUCUCCGGCAGUCUAAAGAUGCAAAGGGUCUGUCGAUGGCCGGGUUCUUGAGCUGGGUGAUUUGGCGGUCUGCGUAUUUGACACGUGUUGUGAGCUGGAGGAACAGGUUCUACGUGGCGGUCAACUGGGCUACCACCUUCGUUUUCGGCAGAGAUAGUUCCAGGAUAUAGAAUAUGAAUAUUGAAAACCAACAUUAAUUGUGGUGAUUGGGAUUAAUUAUUAAAGCAUGCAGACAGGGAUUAAUUUUUAAAAAUCAUCUGUAUAAUUUGAAGUAUUUGAAAUAACUUUAUUUGAAUUUUUUUAAAUAUCACAAUUUAAAAUAUAAUGAUUUUUGUUUUGAAUGACAAAUUAUGUAUUUUUAACCUAUAUAAUAAUUAUUUUUAUUUGAGUUAUAUUGGUUAAAAUAUCACAUCCCAAACUAUCUGUAAGAAUAUCAAACCAGUAAAUUGGACGGAGCCAUAGAUCAAGUUAAUCAGAUUUCAAAUUCAUAAAGUAACGUAUUCAUCAAAUUACGAGUUCAUCGUAUACCGGAUUCGUCGGGUCACAAGUUUAUCUUAUCUCGAACUGGACAGAUUCGAGAGUUUUAGUAUUUUUGUGAGCCGGGUAACGAAUUGAUCUGGGCUGGUUCAUGGAGUCGGGCUCUAGUUGGAAAAUCAAACUAAAGAAGGAGAAGUGGAUUUACAAACAAUCAAACAGCAAUUCAGUACAAUCUGUCCAUACCAAGUAUUGUAUAGGAUCUUCAAAUUUGAUUGAGAUUCGAGAUAACAACAGAGCAUAAUUGAAUCAACAGAUCAAGAUCGGCACGUACUAGUACUGAAACAACAAAAUAAGCAACUGAUGAUGAGCUUAAAGCAGAGCAUAAAGUUGUCAUCUACAUAUGUACAUCCGCACGCAGAAGCUGAUUUCUCUCAACUCAACUCAAGGUAGGAUCAAUUCAUCACGAACAACCACAAUAACAUUAUUCCGGCGACUGAAGGAGAAGACGAUUGAAGCCAAGGAGUGAGCCAGCCCGGUAACGAUCGCCACCUUCACUUUCCCUCUCUUCGGUAUCAGCCGCCGCGAAUUAGCCAUUAUCUCCGAUUUCAGAAAGAUUGUUUCGGAUUGAAGAACGAAGAAGGUUAGAUGCAGGAUGGAUAAGCCUUUAAAUUUGAUCGGUGAAGUUCGUUUUGUUUCGAUUUGACGACGACAGAUGCAGAGGUGUUUAUAUAGAUUUUAAAAUUGUGCUGGGGGCCGGGGAAAGGGGGCUUGGUUUUGGG